GCUCAAAUUUGAAAUCUGGCCCCCCGGGUCCGAGUUGUAAUUUGCAGAGGAUGCUUUUGGCGCGGUGCCUUCCGAGUUCCCUGGAACGGGACGCCAUAGAGGGUGAGAGCCCCGUACGGUUGGACACCAAGCCUGUGUAAAGCUCCUUCGACGAGUCGAGUAGUUUGGGAAUGCUGCUCAAAAUGGGAGGUAUAUUUCUUCUAAAGCUAAAUACCGGCCAGAGACCGAUAGCGCACAAGUAGAGUGAUCGAAAGAUGAAAAGCACUUUGAAAAGAGGGUUAAACAGCACGUGAAAUUGUUAAAAGGGAAGCGCUUGUGACCAGACUUGCGCCCGGUGAAUCACCCAGCUCUCGCGGCUGGGGCACUUUGCCGGCUCAGGCCAGCAUCAGCUCGCCGUCGGGGACAAAAGCUUCGGGAACGUAGCUCUCUUCGGGGAGUGUUAUAGCCCGCUGCACAAUACCCUUCGGCGGGCUGAGGUACGCGCUCCGCAAGGAUGCUGGCGUAAUGGUCAUCAGCGACCCGUCUUGAAACACGGACCAAGGAGUCAACCUUAUGUGCGAGUGUUCGGGUGUCAAACCCCUACGCGAAAUGAAAGUGAACGCAGGUGAGAGCUUCGGCGCAUCAUCGACCGAUCCUGAUGUUCUCGGAUGGAUUUGAGUAAGAGCAUAUAGGGUUGGACCCGAAAGAAGGUGAACUAUGCGUGUAUAGGGUGAAGCCAGAGGAAACUCUGGUGGAGGCUCGCAGCGGUUCUGACGUGCAAAUCGAUCGUCAAAUAUGCGCAUGGGGGCGAAAGACUAAUCGAACCUUCUAGUAGCUGGUUUCCGCCGAAGUUUCCCUCAGGAUAGCAGUGUUGAACUCAGUUUUAUGAGGUAAAGCGAAUGAUUAGGGACUCGGGGGCGCUAUAUUGCCUUCAUCCAUUCUCAAACUUUAAAUAUGUAAGAAGC
Molecule: ribosomal RNA, 944 nt
Filed under: Colletotrichum sp. AR3750
Lineage: Eukaryota; Fungi; Ascomycota; Sordariomycetes; Glomerellales; Glomerellaceae
Description: eukaryotic LSU rRNA
Rfam family: Eukaryotic large subunit ribosomal RNA
Source: RNAcentral